CCUGAGAAACCCAAAAGAUCGAAUGGGGAGAUUCAUCGUCAGCUCAUUUUGUAUAUAUAUAAGUAAUGAUGUGGGUUACUACUUGUAUUGCCUAUACAUUCUUGUAUAUUUUAUUGCUAAAUGUUGUCGGCGUGCACUUCUCCCCUAGUAGAACGUCGCGACUCGUUGAGUGUCGGUCUACGGCCCAAGUGAUAGUCUUUAAUGAUAAAUUUAAAAAAGUCAUUAAAAAUCCUUGGUGUUUUCUGAUCCGACUACUUGGCGAUACUCAAACGGUAUUUAGCCGCAAAUUUUAUUUAAUUUGCGUUCAUACCCGUCGCAAGCGAGGCCAAUUCAAUUACUAGUAGUACGGACCAAGUGCCGUCGCUGGUAUUGGCCAGCUGUUGGUUGUACGGUGUUCUAGAACUGGCUAUAAGAAUUACCGGUCGGCGAUGCUACUGCUUUGGGUACUUUCAGGACCCGUCUUGAAACACGGACCAAGGAGUCUAACAUGUACGCAAGUCAUUGGGAUUUUUAAUAAAAAUUAAACCUAAAGGCGUAAUGAAAGUAAAGGUCAUCCUUGCGUUGACCGAGGGAGGAUGGGUUAUGUUAUGAUAUAAUUCCGCACUCCCGGGGCGUCUCAUUCUUAUU
Molecule: ribosomal RNA, 627 nt
Filed under: Pseudoyelicones limonensis
Lineage: Eukaryota; Metazoa; Arthropoda; Insecta; Hymenoptera; Braconidae
Description: eukaryotic LSU rRNA
Rfam family: Eukaryotic large subunit ribosomal RNA
Source: RNAcentral